Long non-coding RNA from Myiozetetes cayanensis, 469 nucleotides. RefSeq lists it as uncharacterized. The transcript has 2 exons. The record is from RefSeq and is a predicted model, not a curated record. NCBI's taxonomy places the organism in Eukaryota, Metazoa, Chordata, Aves, Passeriformes, Tyrannidae.
AGAAGGCCCAAAGGAUCAAAGGAGUGACCCCAAAAUCCACCCAAAAUCCAUCCAGAAAUCUCCCCAAAAUCACCCUCGUCUAUCCCUGAGGAGGCACAAAGGGGUCCAAGGAGUGACCCCAAAAUCAUCAUAAAAAUCUCCCAAAUCAGGGACCCUUCAUCUACCCAAGAGGACGCCAAAAGGGUCCAAGGAGUGACCCCAAAAAAAUCUCCUAAAAAUCCCCCACAUCGGGGACCUCCUGCCCCCCAAAACCAGGGACCCCCUGCCCCAAAAUUAAGGACACACCCCCAGGGAGCCCCAAAAACCACCUUGCACCCCCCCCCCAAAACCAGGCACCCCCCUACAGGGACCACCCCAAGAGAACCCCCUCGAACCAAGCACAGAGACCCCCCAGGGACCCCCCAAAAUCCAGGGAAUUCCCCCCUUUCACCCCCCGGGGACCCCUCUAAUAAAGGCAGAGUGAGACUGA